Drosophila sulfurigaster albostrigata is the source of this 567-nucleotide long non-coding RNA. RefSeq lists it as uncharacterized. The record is from RefSeq and is a predicted model, not a curated record. NCBI's taxonomy places the organism in Eukaryota, Metazoa, Arthropoda, Insecta, Diptera, Drosophilidae. The transcript has 2 exons.
GUCAUUUUGGACUCACUUAUAAAUAAGUUAUAAAAUAGUAUACUACAUAAGCGAGUUAUUUCUGGAUGAGAACAUCAAGCAAUUAUUUUUACGACUUACAAGCUUCGAGAAUAACUGACUUUAAGCAUGAAGAUAAAGAAUAACUGACUUUGGGGAGCUGUAGCUUUUAAAAAACAUUCUAUGACAGCUUUGGGGUCAAAGUUUUCUGCUAAAGGAACUAUUCAUGCUCUUCUAUGGAACGAGAUACACCUUCAAUGCGAUAACAAUAGCCUGCAGAUAGGGUAACAAGAUGUGAAUAGCCUUGGGCAGCCUUUUAACUGUCGUAGUCACAAAGUACUCGUACUUUGCCGUCGGGGAUAUUGUCGUAAAUCGCGUUUGGGGGCAUGAAAACUUAUCCAAUUUAUAUCGAAAUCUUACCAUUUCAAUAUCAAUGACUGUUUUUUAUUGUUGUUUAUCUUGCUGGUUUCUCUGUGUGUUGGUGUGUAAUUUGUGCAAAGUUCUCGUUGGCUUGUAAACCACAAAACCGAACCGUAAAAAUAACAAGCGGUCAAAAGGCCACAACAGCAA